UUAAGUUAUUAAGGGCGCACGGUGGAUGCCUUGGCACUAGAAGCCGAUGAAGGACGUUACUAACGACGAUAUGCUUUGGGGAGCUGUAAGUAAGCUUUGAUCCAGAGAUUUCCGAAUGGGGAAACCCAGCAUGAGUUAUGUCAUGUUAUCGAUAUGUGAAUACAUAGCAUAUCAGAAGGCACACCCGGAGAACUGAAACAUCUUAGUACCCGGAGGAAGAGAAAGAAAAUUCGAUUCCCUUAGUAGCGGCGAGCGAAACGGGAAGAGCCCAAACCAACAAGCUUGCUUGUUGGGGUUGUAGGACACUCUAUACGGAGUUACAAAGGACGACAUUAGACGAAUCAUCUGGAAAGAUGAAUCAAAGAAGGUAAUAAUCCUGUAGUCGAAAAUGUUGUCUCUCUUGAGUGGAUCCUGAGUACGACGGAGCACGUGAAAUUCCGUCGGAAUCUGGGAGGACCAUCUCCUAAGGCUAAAUACUCUCUAGUGACCGAUAGUGAACCAGUACCGUGAGGGAAAGGUGAAAAGCACCCCGGAAGGGGAGUGAAAUAGAACCUGAAACCGUGUGCUUACAAGUAGUCAGAGCCCGUUAAUGGGUGAUGGCGUGCCUUUUGUAGAAUGAACCGGCGAGUUACGAUUUGAUGCAAGGUUAAGCAGUAAAUGUGGAGCCGUAGCGAAAGCGAGUCUGAAUAGGGCGUUUAGUAUUUGGUCGUAGACCCGAAACCAGGUGAUCUACCCUUGGUCAGGUUGAAGUUCAGGUAACACUGAAUGGAGGACCGAACCGACUUACGUUGAAAAGUGAGCGGAUGAACUGAGGGUAGCGGAGAAAUUCCAAUCGAACCUGGAGAUAGCUGGUUCUCUCCGAAAUAGCUUUAGGGCUAGCCUCAAGUGAUGAUUAUUGGAGGUAGAGCACUGUUUGGACGAGGGGCCCCUCUCGGGUUACCGAAUUCAGACAAACUCCGAAUGCCAAUUAAUUUAACUUGGGAGUCAGAACAUGGGUGAUAAGGUCCGUGUUCGAAAGGGAAACAGCCCAGACCACCAGCUAAGGUCCCAAAAUAUAUGUUAAGUGGAAAAGGAUGUGGCGUUGCCCAGACAACUAGGAUGUUGGCUUAGAAGCAGCCAUCAUUUAAAGAGUGCGUAAUAGCUCACUAGUCGAGUGACACUGCGCCGAAAAUGUACCGGGGCUAAACAUAUUACCGAAGCUGUGGAUUGUCCUUUGGACAAUGGUAGGAGAGCGUUCUAAGGGCGUUGAAGCAUGAUCGUAAGGACAUGUGGAGCGCUUAGAAGUGAGAAUGCCGGUGUGAGUAGCGAAAGACGGGUGAGAAUCCCGUCCACCGAUUGACUAAGGUUUCCAGAGGAAGGCUCGUCCGCUCUGGGUUAGUCGGGUCCUAAGCUGAGGCCGACAGGCGUAGGCGAUGGAUAACAGGUUGAUAUUCCUGUACCACCUAUAAUCGUUUUAAUCGAUGGGGGGACGCAGUAGGAUAGGCGAAGCGUGCGAUUGGAUUGCACGUCUAAGCAGUAAGGCUGAGUAUUAGGCAAAUCCGGUACUCGUUAAGGCUGAGCUGUGAUGGGGAGAAGACAUUGUGUCUUCGAGUCGUUGAUUUCACACUGCCGAGAAAAGCCUCUAGAUAGAAAAUAGGUGCCCGUACCGCAAACCGACACAGGUAGUCAAGAUGAGAAUUCUAAGGUGAGCGAGCGAACUCUCGUUAAGGAACUCGGCAAAAUGACCCCGUAACUUCGGGAGAAGGGGUGCUCUUUAGGGUUAACGCCCAGAAGAGCCGCAGUGAAUAGGCCCAAGCGACUGUUUAUCAAAAACACAGGUCUCUGCUAAACCGUAAGGUGAUGUAUAGGGGCUGACGCCUGCCCGGUGCUGGAAGGUUAAGAGGAGUGGUUAGCUUCUGCGAAGCUACGAAUCGAAGCCCCAGUAAACGGCGGCCGUAACUAUAACGGUCCUAAGGUAGCGAAAUUCCUUGUCGGGUAAGUUCCGACCCGCACGAAAGGCGUAACGAUUUGGGCACUGUCUCAACGAGAGACUCGGUGAAAUCAUAGUACCUGUGAAGAUGCAGGUUACCCGCGACAGGACGGAAAGACCCCGUGGAGCUUUACUGUAGCCUGAUAUUGAAAUUCGGCACAGCUUGUACAGGAUAGGUAGGAGCCUUUGAAACGUGAGCGCUAGCUUACGUGGAGGCGCUGGUGGGAUACUACCCUAGCUGUGUUGGCUUUCUAACCCGCA
This 2230-nucleotide ribosomal RNA is filed under the name Staphylococcus aureus. RNAcentral's name for it is "bacterial LSU rRNA". It matches the Rfam family "Bacterial large subunit ribosomal RNA", at positions 3 to 2231 of the family's 2925-position model. RNAcentral also lists the same sequence under 1 other name. Lineage: Bacteria; Bacillati; Bacillota; Bacilli; Caryophanales; Staphylococcaceae. The record is from RNAcentral.